RNAcentral lists this small RNA (261 nucleotides) under Pan troglodytes (chimpanzee). Its description in RNAcentral is "processed transcript". The record is from RNAcentral. Lineage: Eukaryota; Metazoa; Chordata; Mammalia; Primates; Hominidae.
GUUCCAUCAAAGUGAUAAACUUCAACCCCUCCAGGCCCCGGGAGUGGCUGGGUAUAAUACUGUAAAAGAGACAUAGGAAGUAAACAGGAAGUUCUCUUCAAACUUCGGACUCUGAGCAGUGGCUGGGCUUCCAGAGUCAAGCUCUAGCAGCGCACUCCCCACCAACAAUCUCUAGAGACAGAAUCUCACUCUAUUGCUCCAGUUGAAGUGCAGUGGCUGCUUACAGGGGCGAUCACAGUGCACCGCAGCCUCGAACUCAUG